UCCAGCAGCCGCGGUAAUACGUUCCCGGGCCUUGUACACACCGCCCGUCACGCCAUGGAAGCCGGGAGUGCCCGAAGUCCGUGUCCUAACCGCAAGGAGGGAGCGGCCUAAGGCAAGCUCGGUGACUGGGGCGAAGUCGUAACAAGGUAGCCGUAGGGGAACCUGCGGCUGGAUCACCUCCUUUCUGGAGACACCCAGUAGGUCCACGCGACGCGUUCGCGCGUCAGCCGCUGCUCCGGCAGCGCGCCGGACCGACCGGUUCUCACAAGUCGCCCGCCCUUAUCUUCCGAUACCUAAGUUAUUCAAAUGAACGG
Molecule: unclassified non-coding RNA, 314 nt
Filed under: uncultured bacterium
Lineage: Bacteria
Description: partial contains 16S ribosomal RNA, 16S-23S ribosomal RNA intergenic spacer, and 23S ribosomal RNA
Rfam family: Bacterial small subunit ribosomal RNA (bases 1-184)
Source: RNAcentral